CAUUUUCCAACACAUCCUGGCAUGUUGCAAGAAUAAUUGCUUUUUGUUUACAGUGUCCCUUUAUGGCACAAUGAAUCUGUUGCCAUGACACUGUUUUUAAGAAUUCCAUAUCUUGAACUAUACCUGGAUCAUGGGACCUACAGAAGGCAUUCUCACUGAAAGACUUGAAGAUGUCCUGAGCUGUUGUGCAGAUUCAUGAGACAGUCCCCCAUCGAAGAGAAGAUACAUGAAAUCCAUCAUACAUCUACUUCUCUGAGAGAGGGAGAGGGAACAGCUCUAGGGCAGCUCCAUUGUAUCAUCACUGUUAAUAAAGAGGCUUGGGUGAAACCUGUGUCCGUCCUGAGAAACCAUCCAAAUGCUGAAAACUCUUGAUGUACGGUAACCAUAUAUAGUAGAGCUAGGAAACACUGCAGACAGAAUGAGACUCAGAAGCUUUCACAUGAAGAUGUGACCUGUAAGUAAUAUUUAUGUCCACCCACUCUGUGCAGCCCUAAUUAAGUCUUGAGAAGUGGAGACAGAUUUCCAUUUUACUGAACCCAUGGGAUGUAAAUUUUGUUUCUUUUCUUUAACAUGCAUGAAUCAAUCAAUAUUGAAUUAAUAACAAGAACCACAACAAAAGUAAGGGUGGCAAACAAGUUACAAAGGGUCUAGCUGUAGCUCAGGAAGCAAAAACAAAAACAAAACAAAGCCAAAAAACCUCCAAAGUGAUGUGGGAGGGAGGAUACAGCAGAUUACUUCUGAUUUUGAAGCCACAAAGACAGACAUAAUUAAUUAAUUAUGUGCCACUGAUUCCAGUUUAUGGUGGUCCUUUCUGGGGCUUUCUCAGUAUAAAGUACUCAGAAGUGGUUUACCAGUUCUAGUGGUGUCUUGCGAUCGGAUACUUGCCCAAGGAUGCACAGACUGGCUUUACUUCUAGGAGUCACAAUGGGGCAUUAAACACCUGACUCAGAUGUUCCAAUCUAUUAAGCCAUCUCCCCAGUGAAAGCAGACAUGCAUACCACCAGCUCAGACACCAGCUUUGUCAGCCUGGUCUGUCUCUUCUGAGAACCUGACCUGAAGGUUAUCUUCUUCAGCAACUGGGCUUCUCAGACCAAAGGAUAGGCUUCUGAAAAUCAA
RNAcentral lists this long non-coding RNA (1116 nucleotides) under Pogona vitticeps (central bearded dragon). RNAcentral describes it as "lncRNA (ENSPVIG00000000520.1)". The record is from RNAcentral. Lineage: Eukaryota; Metazoa; Chordata; Lepidosauria; Squamata; Agamidae.